Brassica napus (rape) is the source of this 3158-nucleotide RNA transcript. It is a transcript of the gene named protein PIGMENT DEFECTIVE 338, chloroplastic-like, with no coding region annotated. NCBI's taxonomy places the organism in Eukaryota, Viridiplantae, Streptophyta, Magnoliopsida, Brassicales, Brassicaceae. The transcript has 4 exons. The record is from RefSeq and is a predicted model, not a curated record.
UAUAUGUCCUUAGGAUCGACCCUGAUUACAUUACUUUUAAACGCAAACGUGAAUGUUGCAUGUCAGCACACGAAAACUAAUUUCAAAGGUUUGGAAUGCAAACGUAAAUUCAAGAGAAAAUUUAAAUAAAUACACAUAUCUAUUAUUAUAAGAUACUUCUCUCACUCCUCAUGUCUCCAACUCAGCCGCCGGCUAGAUAAAUCAAGCUCUCUCAGACUGACAUGUGUCACUUAGUAACGAAACUCAUCGUUUAAAUGAAACGCGAGUUUUGAUGGGCUUUCAACGUUUAUGGCAUGUUGGGCUCUGGUAUGUCGUUCUGUUCAGCCUGGAUAGAUGGGAUUCGCCCUCUAACCUUAAUUCCGCUCGAUUGAAGAAUCGCAAAUCGUCUCUUCUCUUCUUGCGAUGGCGCCGCGUGAUGUCUGUGCUUCCUUUCUCUGUCGGAAACGGCCUGAGCUGUGAUUUCGUGAUUAAUCCUAUUAACUCCAUCGCCCACUAUGAAGUCUUCAAUGUGUCGUUCAUAUCUUCGAGGCAGUGUGUCAUCUGUAUAAAUAUUCUUCUUCACCGGAACCCUAAACGCAUCCCCUCCUUGGAUCCACAAGUGGCCUCCGUCUUCUGUCCGGGCUGGCGAUUGCUCCAGGAAUAAAGCGAGGGAGAGAAUAAGUUGCGGAAAAACUGCAAUCGAAAGGAUUUCAGAUACGGAAAUUAAGAUGUGGACGAUAACGGCGAAGACGGUGGGGAUGUGGAAGCCAUAGGGAAUUUGUUGGGGAGAGUGUGUGUGAGGCCUGAUGUGAUAUUAGCUGAGGGAGAAGAUGACAGUGACGAUGAGGAUGAUGAUACUGUGUUAUUGCAAUGGGAUAAGAGAGAGGAAGUUUGAUAUCAGCCGAAGUUAUCAGCCUUUUGUAUACCAAGAUGUCGUUGCCGAUGUACAAAGCGGAGGAAUUGUGGCGGAGAAAGAGCUUCAGCUAUUGAACAAGCCUAAUCAUGUAUUGACACCAGAGGAGGACGAGAAUCAGUGUCGGAAAGCAGGCUAUGGUCAGGUCCUGCAUGAGCCCUUUCUGAAAUUCUUAAAGCAUGAAGAUUGAAAUGAAUCGGAGGUUUCCCAGGAGACGGAGAGACUCGCCGAGUAUUACGAUCCCAAACCAGGUGAAUUUGUGGUUGGUGUUGUGGACCUGUGGUUUCUGGUAACGGGAACAAACUCGAUGUGAGUAUAGUUGCAGAUAUGUUGGGGACCAUGAUGACGAAUGAGAAAGUUCCAUUGUACUACAAAGAAUUUGAUUACUUGCUCUGUGAUUUAAAUUAUGAUGCUGAAGAAUUCUUGGUUCAUGGUAAAAUGGGGAUUGUUAGGGAUGAUGAUGAAUAUGGUUUUUAAGUUGUGUAGUUUGCAAGGCAAGGCAUGCGUAUGGUGGAAAUAGGACAAUGAUCUUUGCAGAUGUUUUAGGGAGGACGUUGAGUGGAAGGCCUUUGCUUUCUUCUAGACGUUACUUUAGGAGAAUAGGCAUGUCUCUUUUUGUUCCUUGAUUUCAAAAACUGUUAUUGGUUGAUGUAUCAAGAAGAUUCUAAUAAAAAGUAGGUUGUUAUGUGGCAGAUCAAGCAGCUUAAUGAUACUGACGUUGAGAUAACUGAGUGGGAUAUCUCUCAUCAGAAUUGAAGGCUUGAGAGGUUCUAUAUUGUUGAAGAAAAAGUAAAGGAAGACUUUCUUUUUUUCUGCUGACUUGCAGUAAGCUUUUUGGUUUCACUGUUUCUAUGAUGGAAGCAUGAUAAAGCUUUAAGAGUUUCAGAGAUAACAAGGAAUUGUUUCAAAGUUGACGAACUCGAUAUACAAGCCGGACAUAGCGAGAUGUUGCAAGGAUGUGUUAAAAUCUAGGUAGUAGUAAUCUAUGACAAGACAAAUCAUAAAAAAAUUGGAUGCUAAAUGAUGACGGAAAGACAGAUGGAAAUGAGGGAAGUUGAUGAUUGUGUGUGAUAGCAGUAGAGAAGUACAAAAGAAUAAAGGAUUUCACUUGGACCCCUUUUCAUGAUUUUCACUCUUAGUACUAUAGAUUUUUAUUCUUCAACAUGAGGCUUUAGAUGUGACAACAUCGUUUUCUACAUUUCGGGGCGGAUAUAUGCGCAGAAUAAACUUUCAAAGCAUACGUGAAUGAUACUUUGAUUUUCAGGAAGAAUCAGAAUUUUGUUUUUUACAUCUAAACUGACAGAUAUGAGUGUCAAAGGAAUAUAAGAUAAUGCAAAAAUAGUUAAUCAAUAAAAUAAUUUUUAAUGAUCGUGAUUGAGAUUGUACUAAACAAUAACAUGGUUUCUUAUUUUGCCGUCCACUGAUAGAUGGAAGAAAUAAACUUUCUGAAUAUCUUCAAGGUGAGAGGCCAGUGGGGAUGUAAGUAGCAGCUAGGAAUUUUUUUAUCCAGAGAAAAGCUUCCCAAUUUACAUAUUGAUGGCCCGGUUUAAAAGAUUUAAAGGAGAGUUUGGGUGGUGUUUUUUUUUAAAGAAAAUUUGUUCUUUGGUUUUAUUUGCUAUGCGUCUUAUUUUAUCUGUAAUGUCUUCUCAUGAACUGGUUUAGAGACCAAAAAUAUAUUUAUCGUUCUACCAUUUUUUUACAUGAUUCAUUCUUUAUUAUAAAAUAGUUUGAUUUACUUAGAAAAUAAACCGUUUAAACAAUCAGUUUCAAUCAAAAACCAUGUUUAGCAAUUUCAUUUUUCUUAAUUAUGUUGCAAUUUUUUGUUAAACAAUUAUGUUGCAAUUUGAUCAAAACAAUCUUUCAAAACUGUUUUCUAUGCAACAAUCUAGCUAAGAAAAUUUUGGUUUCUUUGGACAGUCUAAUAAAAGAACUUUGGUACUCUUUCAAACCAGAUCCAUUUCUCAAUUACAUCAUUAUUAAUAAUAAAAUAAGUACUAUUAUAAGUUUAGAUAUUUUAUGCUGCCACCUCAACUAACGAGAAAAAAGAAACAUGACACAUUACUGUAAGUUUUUAACAUUUGAACUAUCAUACUAUUGUACAUCAAAUGCUCCAUAAUAAUCUUCAUAGCUAACUAUACAUCAAAUAGUUAUGGUUUUCUAUUAUUUUAUUAGUUAACCUAGAUUUUAGUGGUAAAAAAAGGAAAACAAUUACAUAAUUCUUUUUAUUUCAAAUUUUUGUUGAUGUGAGUUUUAAGAGACAUAAAAA